Molecule: transfer RNA, 65 nt
Filed under: Ptilonyssus chloris
Lineage: Eukaryota; Metazoa; Arthropoda; Arachnida; Mesostigmata; Rhinonyssidae
Description: tRNA-Tyr
Source: RNAcentral
AACAAAAUGGCAGAUAAAUGCAAUAAAUUGUAAAUUUAUUAAUAUAAUUAAUAUUAUUUUUGUUA